AUCAGGUCCUGACCCGAAAGCAAGGAUUGGCUGCUCAACUGCCUGAGCCAUCCAGGCACCCCUGGAAUGUCUUUUCACAUGUUUAUUUGACUUCUUUCUAUCUUCUUUGGAGAGACUCUGGCAUAUACAACUGUUGACAGGAAUGAGUAGAAUGAGCUGGAAGAAGGAGUGAUGGAAAGAAGAUACAGAGGAGGGUGGUUCCUUUGACCCUCCCUCUUCCUGACCCACUGUGAUAGCAGUCCGUGCUGAGAAGCUAGAAGCAGAACCAGACUGGGAGUUGGAGUUGGAGGCAAGAGGAGCAGAGAGAAGAGGCCAACGCCUGGUCCAUGAAGUGUUGUGGGUUCCUUGAGCAGCCUGCCCUCCCACAGCCUGCUGAAUAAAUUGGAAAAUGAAAAGCUUGAAGAAAGAUGCCAAAACUUUGUUCCAGCUUUCCGAGCACUCAGAGUGCUAAUUUAUACAUCAUAACCCUGAAAAGAUUCCAUUGUUUUCCUCAACUUUGAAAGACUGGGCUAUGUCCAAGGGCAUAUCAAGUGGGUAGUGCUCGAAAAGCAAGCCACAUUUUUGGAACUCUCAUUGGAAACCAUGGAGGCACCCAGUGUCAGCUCCACCCAGCCCAAGGCCUGACUUCACUGGGGUGGCUGCUGGAGAGGCUGGUCCAAGGCCAGACAUGGGAGGAAAAGGCCCAUCUGAUAUUGUUUGCAGGAAAAGCCAGGGAAGAGCAUCACCUAGAAAUUGGGUGUACUUUAUGUCCAGUACACCCUGAAGAAAACUUGAAGAACCAAGGGCUAUGAUGAAGAAAGUAGCUUGUGGCUGUCAAGGAAGGCAUAUGCCAUUGAGGAGACAUGAUUACAUAGAAACAGGAUAGGAAUCUGCGGGGGCAGGGCGGAUGAAGAGAUUUCACGAGUUAUAGGAAUUCAUUUCUGCCCCAGCCUCUGGUAGUAUCUUUUGCAAUUUGCUGAAACAUGUUGGAGGCAAAGAUCACUGUCAGGGUGUUUCCAAGCGCCUGGCCUCAC
Long non-coding RNA from Canis lupus familiaris (dog), 1013 nucleotides. RefSeq lists it as uncharacterized. The record is from RefSeq and is a predicted model, not a curated record. NCBI's taxonomy places the organism in Eukaryota, Metazoa, Chordata, Mammalia, Carnivora, Canidae. The transcript is spliced from 5 exons.